GUUCCGAGUCGUUUGAGGGUGUCUGGUAAAGCAAGCUCGGGGCGGUGUUGGAAAUCUGAAUGUCACCCGCGGUCCGGAGCAGAUAGGAUGGGCUGGGAAGGUACCCGCGAACUGCCGCCGGAAUUCGCUGGCAGCUGUGCGAGGCUCAGGUGUUCUAGUUUGACAUUUCCCUUCCUGAAAGCGGCAAGGAGAGGUCUAAGAGUGGGCAAACUUCAACGUUCGGUUACAGUGUAAUUAAUGAGAGUGUGAGGAAAAAGACAAUUGUCUACAAAGAAAGAGGCUGCCAAGUGGAGACAGAAAAGCAGUUAUGAGACUGAUGAUAGAUUCCAAUUUGUUAUCGGUAGAAAGGAAGGAGGAGACCUGAACAGUACAUCCGGAGAAUCCAGCAAAGCAUACUACGGCAUGAACGUGCAAGUGGACAGAAUUAAAACACAUGCCAGAAACACUAAUGGAUUCUAAACAAGAUGCAGUUUCAUUUCCUGAGCCUAUACGUGAUGUUUUUAACUGUUCUCCAGUUAAUAUGUCUCCAUUUCCAGAAAUCUAACAGGAGAAUCUCUGACUGCUUAACAGAUCACCUAAGCUUGCGAUUUGUGCAAUCCUUUCUAGAGUAAGGGCUCCCCGGCUGCUCCCCGGCCACUGUGUACCCAAAGCAGCGGCUGAAAUAGCCCGGAGUCCAACAGCUCAGCGUCAAGCAGCUCGUGGUUUGUACUUACAUCAUUUUUUUUUUCAGAGCAAGAGUGAAAGUUUAUUAAAAAGCGUUAGAACAGUAAGGAAAGGAAAGGAGAGAAAAUAAGGAAAGUACAACUUGGAAGAGGGCCAAGCGGGCGACUUGAGAAAUCAAGUGCCUGUACUUACAUCAUUCUUAACCCUUUCGCUCCUGGAGGGGGCUCAGCGGGAUCAGGGGGCCCCUGAACUUCGGAACACGCAGGAC
This 931-nucleotide long non-coding RNA is filed under the name Homo sapiens (human). Its description in RNAcentral is "non-protein coding RGMB-AS1:28". The record is from RNAcentral. Lineage: Eukaryota; Metazoa; Chordata; Mammalia; Primates; Hominidae.